GACGGAGGAGGCAAGCGUUAUCCGGAAUUAUUGGGCGUAAAGGGUACGUAGGCGGCUGGUCAAGUCUGGGGUCAAAGGCCACAGCUCAACUGUGGGAAGGCCCUGGAAACUGACCGGCUAGAGUGAGGUAGGAGUUGCGGGAAUUCCCGGUGUAGCGGUGAAAUGCGUAGAGAUCGGGAAGAACACCUGAGGCGGAAGCGCGCAACUGGGCCUCACCUGACGCUGAGUUACGGAAGCUACGGUAGCGAAUGGC
This 253-nucleotide ribosomal RNA is filed under the name uncultured bacterium. RNAcentral's name for it is "partial 16S ribosomal RNA". It matches the Rfam family "Bacterial small subunit ribosomal RNA", at positions 524 to 776 of the family's 1533-position model. The record is from RNAcentral.